Molecule: RNA transcript, 3297 nt
Organism: Diospyros lotus (date-plum)
Lineage: Eukaryota; Viridiplantae; Streptophyta; Magnoliopsida; Ericales; Ebenaceae
Exons: 3
Source: RefSeq, a predicted model, not a curated record
CUUCGCCCAGCGCCGCAAACCUCCAUCGCCGCCCAUCGCCGUCGCCUGGGUCUUCUCUUUCGUCGCGUCUCCAGAUCCUUCAGCCAGAUCUGCCUUCCCCCUUGACGUUGCCGUCGCCUUCAGUCCCUCUCUCUCUGGUCUCUCCUGUUGGUUUCAUUUUUACUGCCUUUUGUACUUGUAUCUAUAAUUCUUCACCAUUUACCAGAAAUGGGUAUGAAUUUUCAUCCCUACGGAGAAAAGGAUUCAAGAGAGGUAGAUCUCUAAUGCUGCGUUUUCUUGGUUUCUCUUUCAAUUUGUGUGGGUAUGUUAGGUUUUGUUGAAAUCCACCGUAUUUUCCACUUAAUCCAUCACAGGAGAAUACAGAACUUUGUUCCAUUUUUUUCGUUGUAUAGAUAUAGUCAUUUUGAACCAAGCCAGGAUCUGAGUUCUUCCAGUACAGCUGUUUGUUCGCUGAGAAAAGUGCCCCGGGAUGCUGUAGGCGUUUUCUGGGAUUUGGAUAACAAGCCACCAAAAUCAGUGCCACCUUACGAGGCUGCUGUUCGGCUAAAGAAGGCGGCAGCUGAAUUCGGAUUAGUUAGGUCCAUGGUUGCUUAUGCAAACCGCCACUUGUUUAGUUACGUUCCUUCAGAAGUUAGGGAACAGAGAAAAGAGAGGAAGGAACUAAAUAAAUUGGAAAAUAAGGGCGUAAUUAAGCCGGCUGAACCUUACUUGUGUCUGGUUUGUGGGAGGAAGUUUUAUAACAAUGACAAGCUUGUGAAUCAUUUUAAGCAAAUUCACGAGAGCGAACAGACGAAGAGGUUGAAUAAGAUUGAGUCUGCUAGAGGUAAGAAGAGGGUGAACUUGGUGGGCAAAUUCUCAAUGAAGAUGGAGAAGUAUAAGAAAGCUGAAAGAGAUAUUUUGACUCCUAAACUGGGCUAUGGACUGGCAGAUGAAUUGAAACGUGCUGGUUUUUGGGUUAAGGCCGUGUCAGAUAAGCCGCAAGCAGCAGACGUAGCAUUGAGGAAUCACAUGGUAGAUAUGAUGGAGCGGCAGCAAGUUAAGUGUUUAGUCCUUGUCUCAGAUGAUUCUGAUUUUGUGGAGUUCUUGAAGGAGGCAAGGUUGAGAUGUUUAAAGACAGUUGUCGUGGGUGAUAACAAUGAUGGGGCUCUCAAGAGAACUGCAGAUGCUGGAUUUUCUUGGCAGGAAAUUAUGCUGGGAAAGGCAAAAAAGGAGGCGGUAUCAGUUGUAGGACGGUGGAAGGAUCGUGAUGUUUUGAAGAGAUUGGAAUGGACUUAUGAUCCAGAAAGGGAUAGAAACCCAUAUGAUUUGGAUGCUGUUUUUGAGUCAGAGAGCUGCGAUUCAGAAAUUGAAGGCUUUUCUUAUGGAGAAGACGAUAAUUGUCUGAAAAAGGAAGCCAACAAUGCGUGGCGGGAGGUGGAAUCUGAGACAGACGUCACAUCAACAUGGCUUCCAUAUUUCCCUUGUAUGGCAUCUCCACAGAUUCUGGUACUUUCUCUUCAAUGACAUUUUCCGAGCCACACUCAGGCGAACUCUUCUCGCUGUGCUCUCUCACAUGCCCUGCAGCUAUGGCUCCUCCAGAGUUACUAAUAUUCCCAAAGAUCAAAGUAAAAAUCCCAGCAAUUGCAGUGCAAAAGGCAACCCCAAAUGCCCUGUUUACAUUGCCAUGGCCGGCUGAUGCAACUGCAAAGCCUGCACAUGUGCCAAAAGCUCUAACCCACGAGAACCACACUGAAAAGGCCCCCUCUUUCCCUGCUGGUGAGCAGUCCAGCAGUAAUACACGCCCAAAGGCAUGUAGGAGACCUGUUGCCACACUUUGGAUUGCAGCGAAGACCAAGACAUGUUGGUUCUUCCAAUCUUCAUGACGGUAAUAGAAUCCAACCCCAGAAGUGAGUGUUGAUAGUAGGAAACCAAGCAACUGCAUUUUCACUGCAUCAGCCCUGAUGAGUUGCUGCAGGGGCUGUACCAGUGGGAGAGACAGCACAGGGAAUAUGAAAUAUGUUAGCCAAAGGUAUAGUAAGUUCUUUGGUUUGAGGCAGAGUUGCCCUACUAAAUAGAGCACACCUCCUGUGAAUAUGCACAUUGUUGCACAUGAGGAAAAGAAAACACCACCCAAGCUUCCAGCUGCAUGAGGAUACUUAAAAAUGGAGAUCGCAUGGGUCUUGGGGAUUGAAGUUGUAUUUGCACCAGGUCUAUUACUAACAAAGGCAAGGAUUGUCCCAGCACACCAUUGAAGGCCACUAAAGAUUGAAACCACCCAUAAGCUGAGAAAUCUUUCGUGGUGUCCGAGCAUGUGGUACGUGAAAGAGGAGAUGACGGCAGAACCUAAGCAGCCAGCAGCUGUGGCGUAAAGCGAGAGCCAGCUUGACACGGCUCUUCUGUCAGGGAACUGGCUUUUCCUGAUACUGGAACCAAUGAAGCCACGAACCAUUAGGCCAAGGUGGCGAUUAUGUGAGGCUGCACAGACAGUAUUGGCCGCAACAAUAGCAGCAACAUAUGGUGGAAAGAUCCACGUGACUGAGAAAACCCCAGCUGGAAGACAGAAGAGAGCUCCAACGGCAGUUGCAGCAGCUAAAAUAAGUCUCUGGUUCUGACCAUAAUCAAGGUGGACAGACAAAACUCCUAGUGCUGGUGCUGCAAGAAUGAGACCUAGCCCCCAAGAAAUUGAAGUCCACUCAAACGGCGAGAAACUUAUGCUUCCGACUCUUAUUGAUGCGUGUGCAAAACCCUUAGGGGUCUUCUCCCACCCUUGUGGGGGCGUCGGGAUUGUCUUGAAGAUUUGGCUGAUGAGGAGAGGGAAUACAAUAGGAAUGAGAACUGUGUGAAUGAAGUAUGAGCAUAGCCCAUAGAGACACCAAGCCAGAACCUUCAUCUUUGUCGGUUUCUCUUCAAGGCCUGCAUAUGCCUGGUAAGCCUCCUUGGCCCUCUGGAUUUUCAAUCCCGUGUCAUGAAUAUCCACUGUCGCCAUGCUUUCCACCUCCCCGGUGGAUUGUAGCCCCUGCCCCGAUGUGCUUCGGAUUUCAGGAGUCAUCUCCGCCAUGUAAACACUUCAACCCACUGCUAUGUGACACACAACUUUUCAAGCUGGGAUUUUUAGAAGAGGCAGUUGUUGAAUGAGAGAGAUAAUGGCCUAUAAAAAUGGUGGGAUUUGGAGUUAAGCUAGCAGCUAGCUGGAUGUGAAAUUUUCAAAGAGUCAAGACUAGCCUCGAUUUGUUCAAUGGGGUUAUUAACAUAGAGGCAUCUUGGAAUCAUUCUCUUCUCUUCUCUUCAAGUAUUAAACCAAACACAAGGUAUGCAUAU